GGAGUCUGGUCCGUGUCUCAGUACCAGUGUGGGGGACCUUCCUCUCAGAACCCCUACGCAUCGUCGCCUUGGUGGGCCGUUGCCCCGCCAACUAGCUAAUGCGCCGCAUGCCCAUCCCCGGCCGGAAUCCUUUCACCGCAAACCCAUGCGGGAUCGCGGCGCAUGAGGUAUUAGGCCCAGUUUCCCGGGUUUAUCCCUCUGCCGGGGGCAGGUUGCAUACGUGUUACUCACCAGUGCGCCGGUCGCCGCCGGGAGUGUUGCCACCCCCGCGAUGCCCCUCGACUUGCAUGUGUUAAGCCUGUCGCUAGCGUUCAUC
RNAcentral lists this ribosomal RNA (316 nucleotides) under uncultured Bacteroidales bacterium. RNAcentral describes it as "partial 16S ribosomal RNA". The record is from RNAcentral. Lineage: Bacteria; Pseudomonadati; Bacteroidota; Bacteroidia; Bacteroidales.